Molecule: ribosomal RNA, 424 nt
Filed under: uncultured bacterium
Lineage: Bacteria
Description: bacterial SSU rRNA
Rfam family: Bacterial small subunit ribosomal RNA
Source: RNAcentral
AGAGUUUGAUCCUGGCUCAGGACGAACGCUGGCGGCGCGCCUCAUACAUGCAAGUCGAGCGAGAAACUCGGAGCUUGCUCCGGGUGGACAGCGGCGAACGGGUGAGGAACACGUGAGGAACCUGCCCCGAAGACCGGGAUAACACCAGGAAACCGGUGCUAAUACCGGAUGCCCUCACCGGAUCGCAUGGUCCGGCGAGGAAAUGGAUUCCGCUUCGGGAUGGUCUCGCGGCCUAUCAGCUUGUUGGCGGGGUAAUGGCCCACCAAGGCUUCGACGGGUAGCUGGUCUGAGAGGAUGUCCAGCCACACUGGGACUGAGACACGGCCCAGACUCCUACGGGAGGCAGCAGUAGGGAAUCUUGCGCAAUGGGCGAAAGCCUGACGCAGCGACGCCGCGUGCGGGAUGACGGCCUUCGGGUUGUAAA